This 460-nucleotide ribosomal RNA is filed under the name uncultured bacterium. Its description in RNAcentral is "partial 16S ribosomal RNA". It matches the Rfam family "Bacterial small subunit ribosomal RNA", at positions 338 to 795 of the family's 1533-position model. The record is from RNAcentral.
CCUACGGGUGGCAGCAGUGAGGAAUAUUGGUCAAUGGACGAGAGUCUGAACCAGCCAAGUAGCGUGAAGGAUGACUGCCCUAUGGGUUGUAAACUUCGUUUAUAUGGGAAUAAAAUGUUCCACGUGUGGGAUUUUGUAUGUACCAUAUGAAUAAGGAUCGGCUAACUCCGUGCCAGCAGCCGCGGUAAUACGGAGGAUCCGAGCGUGAUCCGAAUUUAUUGGGUUUAAAGGGAGCGUAGGUGGAUUGUUAAGUCAGUUGUGAAAGUUUGCGGCCCAACCGUAAAAUUGCAGUUGAAACUGGCAGUCUUGAGUACAGUAGAGGUUGGCGGAAUUCGUGGUGUAGCGGUGAAAUGCUUAGAUAUCACGAAGAACUCCGAUUGCGAAGGCAGUUCACUGGACUGCAACUGACACUGAGGCUCGAAAGUGUGGGUAUCAAACAGGAUUAGAUACCCCUGUAGUC